RNAcentral lists this ribosomal RNA (251 nucleotides) under uncultured bacterium. RNAcentral describes it as "partial 16S ribosomal RNA". It matches the Rfam family "Bacterial small subunit ribosomal RNA", at positions 91 to 339 of the family's 1533-position model. The record is from RNAcentral.
UAUAGUGGCGAACGGGUGAGUAACACGUAAGCAACCUACCCUCAAGACCGGGACAACUAGCCGAAAGGUUAGCUAAUACCGGAUGUGGCUACGGGAAGACAUCUUCCUGUAAUUAAAUCCAGCAAUGGGCUUAAGGAUGGGCUUGCGUACUAUCAGCUAGUUGGUGAGGUAACGGCUCACCAAGGCAAUGACGGUUAGCUGGUCUGAGAGGACGACCAGUCACAAGGGAACUGAGACACGGUCCCUACUCC